RNAcentral lists this ribosomal RNA (443 nucleotides) under uncultured bacterium. Its description in RNAcentral is "partial 16S ribosomal RNA". It matches the Rfam family "Bacterial small subunit ribosomal RNA", at positions 338 to 795 of the family's 1533-position model. The record is from RNAcentral.
CCUACGGGGAGCUGCAGUGGGGAAUAUUGGGCAAUGGAGGAAACUCUGACCCAGCAACGCCGCGUGAAUGAUGAAGGUCUUCGGAUUGUAAAGUUCUUUUCUAAGGGAAGAAGAAAGUGACGGUACCUUAGGAAUAAGCCUCGGCUAACUACGUGCCAGCAGCCGCGGUAAUACGUAGGAGGCGAGCGUUAUCCGGAUUUACUGGGUGUAAAGGGAGCGUAGACGGCAGCACAAGUCUGGAGUGAAAUGCCGGGGCUUAACCCCGGAACUGCUUUGGAAACUGUGCAGCUAGAGUGCAGGAGAGGUAAGUGGAAUUCCUAGUGUAGCGGUGAAAUGCGUAGAUAUUAGGAGGAACACCAGUGGCGAAGGCGGCUUACUGGACUGUAACUGACGUUGAGGCUCGAAAGCGUGGGGAGCAAACAGGAUUAGAUACCCCUGUAGUC